CCUACGGGUGGCAGCAGUAGGGAAUCUUCGGCAAUGGGGGCAACCCUGACCGAGCAACGCCGCGUGAGUGAAGAAGGUUUUCGGAUCGUAAAGCUCUGUUGUAAGAGAAGAACGUGUGUGAGAGUGGAAAGUUCACACAGUGACGGUAACUUACCAGAAAGGGACGGCUAACUACGUGCCAGCAGCCGCGGUAAUACGUAGGUCCCGAGCGUUAUCCGGAUUUAUUGGGCGUAAAGCGAGCGCAGGCGGUUGGAUAAGUCAGCGGUAAAAGCCCGGGGCUCAACCCCGGCGAGCCGUUGAAACUGGCUGUCUUGAGAUGUCGAGAGGUAUGCGGAAUGCGCAGUGUAGCGGUGAAAUGCUUAGAUAUUGCGCAGAACUCCGAUUGCGAAGGCAGCAUACCGGCGGCGAUCUGACGCUGAGGCACGAAAGCGUGGGUAUCGAACAGGAUUAGAUACCCCAGUAGUC
This 465-nucleotide ribosomal RNA is filed under the name uncultured bacterium. Its description in RNAcentral is "partial 16S ribosomal RNA". It matches the Rfam family "Bacterial small subunit ribosomal RNA", at positions 338 to 795 of the family's 1533-position model. The record is from RNAcentral.